CCUACGGGUGGCAGCAGUCGGGAAUAUUGCGCAAUGGAGGAAACUCUGACGCAGCGACGCCGCGUGCAGGAAGAAGGUUUUCGGAUGGUAAACUGCUUUAGACAGGGAAGAAAAAAGACAGUACCGGUAGAAUAAGCACCGGCUAACUACGUGCCAGCAGCCGCGGUAAUACGUAGGGAGGAAGCGUUAUCCGGAUUUAUUGGGUGUAAAGGGUGCGUAGACGGAGAAGCAAGGUAGUGGUGAAAUCCCUCGGCUUAACUGCGGAACUGCAACUAAAACUACUUCCCUUGAGUACUGGAGAGGCAAGUUGAAUUCCUAGUGUAGCGGUGAAAUGCGUAGAUAUUAGGCGGAACCCCAGUGGCG
Molecule: ribosomal RNA, 363 nt
Filed under: uncultured bacterium
Lineage: Bacteria
Description: partial 16S ribosomal RNA
Rfam family: Bacterial small subunit ribosomal RNA
Source: RNAcentral